This 253-nucleotide ribosomal RNA is filed under the name uncultured prokaryote. RNAcentral describes it as "partial 16S ribosomal RNA". It matches the Rfam family "Bacterial small subunit ribosomal RNA", at positions 525 to 777 of the family's 1533-position model. The record is from RNAcentral.
ACGGAGGGUGCGAGCGUUAAUCGGAAUUACUGGGCGUAAAGCGCACGUAGGCGGCCUGUUAAGCUGGAUGUGAAAGCCCCGGGCUCAACCUGGGAAUGGCCUCCAGAACUGGCAGGCUAGAGUACAGUAGAGGGUGGUGGAAUUUCCUGUGUAGCGGUGAAAUGCGUAGAUAUAGGAAGGAACAUCAGUGGCGAAGGCGGCCACCUGGACUGAUACUGACGCUGAGGUGCGAAAGCGUGGGGAGCAAACAGGA